CCUGUGGUGAAUAACAAAUUGCACACUGCGAAAAUAUUCAGCUGCUGAUGUCUGUCAGCUUCCUUCUCUUUCACCACUUGGGUAUAGGUGUGUGUGUUCAUACAAACAUUAAAAGGUCUGUGAGGGGAAUGUUUAAAUUCAUCACAAGACCUGCAAGUGCCGGUAGGGGCUUAUCAUGGAGGACACAAACGGCAGCGUGUUAACAUACCAUCACAGUGUUUUCUAGCGGCAAUGGGAAUAAACACUAUCGCAUGGCAAAGUGUAAUGCAAAACAUGAGGUAUCCAACAAAGUUGGGAACUGAACAAAAAUUCAACAAGGCUUAGGUGAGACUGGAUAACUUUUAUGUAUAGUAUAGUACAGGCCUGGCCCAAGACAUUUUGGUGCUUGAAGCGAAGCAUAAAAUGGUGCCUCCCGCCAGGGAAGAAGGGGUGAGAGAAGAUCUACAUCGGAAGCAAGUGGGGAGUGAAGAUCUACCUCAGGAACAAGCUGGUGAGUGAGGUCUACAUUGGGAAUAAGGCAGAAGGGGAAUCAUAGCAACUUUUCCAGGUUUACUUCACUUGGAUUGCCAUCUUCAAAUGACAAACCAAACACUAGGUCAUUGGCUUAGGUAACUAUCUAUUUUCUAUUUGUCCAACAUUACUACUGAGCUGCUUAUACAGCGAAAAGGAUACUGGCAAGAAUAUAGUGAUACUGCAAAACUGGAAAAGCUAUUCAUUUAUUGUAAAAAACACACACCGUCAAAGCGGUUUACAAAAAGAUAAAACUAUAAAAUCAAGAAAAACCCACAACCAUAAUUUAAAACAUACAAAAGCUAAAAUACAAAAAAUUAAAAUUACCUCAACUUUCUAAGCAUCUAAGAACAAAAGAGAUCAAAACUGCUGAAACAAAUACACAAGCAGCAACAAAAACAGCUGAGCAGUAAAAGAUUGUGCCCUGUAUUCUUGACGUGCUUUGAGUUGAGUUCUUUUUCAGGGAAAAUUGUCUUUCAAAUAAAUAAAGGUAGUAGACUGACUCAAGCCCUUGUUGGAAAUGGUAACUGCCUUAAACAGAUGGAGAUAAUUUGAAGUAAAGUUUUUGAACCUGAAAUUAGUUGUCAAUAAAGAAUAAAUGCAUUUGUGGGGUGCAGGUGGGGGGGGGAGUGGCUUCCUACACAGCUGUUUCCCCUGGUUCCACUAUUAUGAUAAAUGCUGGUGACCUGGCAGGGGAAGUAGAGUGAACCCCAAUUUAUUAUGAUAAAUGCUGAUGAUGGUUUUCCAAUCCUCUGCUUGCAUCUUAUCUGAUUGUACUAGGCUAGGGGUUUAAGGCCAAAUGGUUUGCCAUUUGUAUAUAUUUGAGGCUCAGGAGUGCUCCUAGAAAGUCACCUACUGAAGGAUUUUUGUGCCCUUUAGUAGAUGUAUGGCAUAGCGCAAGGGUUUCUAACCUUUUUGGACCCGUGGACAUGUGAAAUUUUGAGUGUUGUGAGCCCCAAUGACAAAAUGGCUGCUAUGGGGGCAUGGCGCAACACAUCAGCUUCAGGAUAUUGGAGUCAGCAUUUUCCAUAAACUUUUAAAUCCACUGAAAAUUAUCCAGUAAGUUACUAAUAAUAUACCACCGUGUUCUUACUUAUACAUUAAUCUAGAAAUCCAUAAUAUAUCUCAACAAGUAGUUCCCCAUUUCAGAGCUUUUUCAACAGGUCUAACUUUAAAGCAAAGUCAUUAAAGAGUCUUGCAUCAUAUUGAAUUAGGCUGAGAGUCUUCCCUAUAAUUUAUUAUUUGAUUUACUUGAUUAAUGAGGCAUGCUAGAUACCAUAUUGAUAUGCUAAAAAUCAACUUCUCCUACAGGUCCAUUAUCCACUUAAAUUUUGAGACACUAUUGAAUGCUCUCAAGUUUUCUCUCAGUGGACUAUCAAAUCGAAGUCUGUUAGAAGUGAUUUGAUACAUUUGUAGAUGAUGCCCUUUAAUGCAGUUUAAAAUGUCAGAAUCAGUGUACAAUUAAAGGAACUACAAUAUAAAAAUAUUUUAGCUUCAAGAUACUAGACUGGAUUUUGUAAAUACAUUGACGAUUGUAGUGAUUCAGCUGCACCAUUAUGAGUUAUCCCCCCAUCAAGGAAAGCACAGUCAGUUAUUAUCACUCAACAUGGCAGGGUUUAGUUAGGAAAAAAAUAAAACUUUCAUGCAAUCAUGCAUCUGUCUACUCAGAAACAAGGACCACUGAGUUGAAUGGCACUUCCUCCCAGGUAAGUGGGUAUAGAAUUGCAGCCUUAAUUGCUUUCUUCCAAACUAGAUAGCACCUGGCAAAGAAAAAUAUGGCUGCAGGUAAAUGUGUAUUCCAGGAAUUGUAUUGUGUCUAAAGGCAAUGGAUAGUUGCUCUUUGAGUAGAAUUCCACAUGACUUGGACUGUACUAACUCCAGAUCAAUAACCUCAAAAUAUCAGUUUAACAGCUGUGACUGGCGAUGUGACAAAACAUUUUCUUGGGGCUGUAAUGACCUGGAAGAAUAGAAAUAAAAUGCAAAAACAUAUAAAUACUUCACUUUGCAAUAACAGCUUCUACUUGACUCUGAAAUAACAUCAGCUGUAAAAAGGGAAAGGGACCCCUUACCAUUAGGUCCAGUUGUGGACGACUCUGGGGUUGCAGAGCUCAUCUCGCUUUACUGGCCGAGGGAGCCGGCGUACAGCUUCCGGGUCAUGUGGCCAGCAUGACUAAGCCACUUCUGGUGAACCAGAGCAGCGCACGGAAACACCGUUUACCUUCCCACCGAAGUGGUACCUAUUUAUCUACUUGCACUUUGACGUGCUUUUGAACUGCUAGGUUGGCAGGAGCAGGGACCAAGCAAUGGGAGCUCACCCCGUCGUGGGGAUUCGAACUUACGACCUUCUGAUCGGCAAGUCCAAGGCUCUGUGGUUUAACCCUCAGCACCACCCACGUCCCUAAUAUCAGCUAUAGGGUUCUUCUAAAAACUGUUAACUAGUAUCCUCUCAUUAUUAAUGUUUUCUACUGUAUAGUGGAAUACUUAAGAUAUGCUGCCUUGCUGAAGAAAGGAUUGAAAUUAAAUCCCUUAUGGUUGUGCCCACCCCACCCCCCCACCUGGAAACAUGGAUGUCAACAAAAAAUAAUCAGGGGAGGGGGCGAGUUCUAUGACUUGUAACAGUUAUUUCUUUUGACCUGCAAACAGACACGCAUACACAGAUAGAUACUCAGGGUGAGAGGCAGAUGUAUGGCUGAGGUCAAAGUAAUUCCUACAGCACAAUCCCAAGCAUUUUUUAAAUUUGAAAUACUUCCCUGAGUUUAACUGGACCUUUGGAUAAAAGAAAGAAAGAAAGAAAGAAAGAAAGAAAGAAAGAAAAGCACAAUACCUUUAUUAUGAGCAAAUAAAAUGUCUCAAAGAAGUGAGCAAAAUUCUUUAUUAUGUUGGGUGUUCUAUCAUCAAACAAACAAAAAGGUGGCAGGGGGUGACAGAAAGCAGGGAAGCCUGUUGGGAAAGAUGUAAGAGGUCAUUCGGUAUAUUAUAUUAGCCUUAAUAUGGAAUGGGGAAUUUGGCAUGCAUUCGUUGAACUUAAUUCUCAGUCAUUAUGUGCUGAGGAACACACCCUCUCUCUUGUUAGGGACAAAGGGUAAAGGAAUUACAGUACAUGAAUGUUAAAUUAGUUUAACAGCUGAAUCCUAUGUGUGUUUACUCAGACGUAAGUCCCACUAUGUAUAAGGAGGCUUUCUUUGUGGUAAAUAAUUAUUGCACCUCAAAUUUGUAUUGCAGACAUUAUCUCAAUUCUCCUCUUUAAUGGUCCAAACAGCACAACUCUUUACACUCGCCCCUCUUGUCCCCUCAUGUUUCCUUUAUUGAGGAUCAUGAUCAGCUUCAGUUUUUCUCCCACACUGGUCAUAAAGCUAUAUCAGUCAUUUGUUCACAGCUUGCUUAGUUGGACCAUACUCUUCUAGAUCUCUGCAGGCCUCAUAGUCUCUGGUAUUUGCUUAACUAUCCCCAAAGUUAUGGAGUGAAGUUUUUCUGUGACAUUAAAUGCUUGACUUGUGGCUGCAGGAUUUUCAGAGUUUUGGAAGCGGGCAUAUUGGGAACAUAUACAACUGGGCAACCAGCCAGCAUUGGUCACAGGGGGCAUUUUAGUAUUCACUUAUUUAAAUGUGGGGAAAGUCCUGCCAAAACUGCAUAUAUUUCUCAUGUUACAAAGUACUGCUCUAUUUACAUUUCCUUCAUUUUCUUUUUAAAAAAACCACGCUGUUUAAAACUGGAUUGAUACUGAGAAUUUAAUACUAUAUUUUAAUUCUUCUUAACAUUUGAUGCUUGGUAUCCUGUUUAUUGAUCAUUUUUAUAAUGUUGCUUUGUUACUAUAUACAGUGGUACUAUAUUAAUUCUUGGCUUUCUUGGGCAUAUGCAACUUUUGCAACAAUUUGUCCAACAUUACUCUCAGAUUCUUCAGCCAUGUUUUUGAUUCAUUAAGUCAUUAGAUUUAUACAAUUCUGUUGCCUUUUAACAUUUUGCAACUCCAAAUUCUUAAUUCCCUAAAUGUUCUAUGAACCUAUACAAGCCAUAAUCCAACUAAAGUCAAGCAUUUUAUUCUAUGGACAAGCGAUGCAUGUCAACAUCUACGGUAAUUGAAAUCAAGUUGAUUAUUACACUUUUCUCCCUUACUACAGCAGCUAAUGGAUGAGUAAGGUUUCAGUGAAACCUGUCGGCAAGAAUCAUAGGAGAUAGACAUGACUGUAAGGAACUCUGCAUAUAAAGAGUGCUGUGUGAAAAUCAUUAAGAAUACGGUACACACCAAUAAUGCCCAGACCUAAUUCCAGGGUUGUAGGCUUGUUUUACUAAAGGGACAAGAGCAUAAGAUAUCUACUUGCUGUAGUCAAAACCAGUGGUCAGUGGGGGGUACUAAUUCAGAGCAAUGGUGGCUCACCAAGGCCAUCAAACCAAGCUACUGAUGCUAUUGUGUAUUGGAAAUUGUAACUAUUAAGCAGAGCUUUAAAUGACUAAAUGGGGGGAAACAGAGCUCAACUUUCCUGAAAACCACUUUUCAUAGAUAUGAAAUUUCCAGGAAGUAGAUGUGUGUGACUACUGUGAAGUGAGAGAAAGUCACUCUACAUAUGCUUGGGAUUACUCCUUAUUAAGAACACAGACUAGCUUUGGCUCAAAUUUACUUUUUUAUAUGCAUAGUUGAAACCUACUCAUUUUUCCUGUGCAAUAUCCCCUUUGAAUACUGAAAAUGAAAAAGGUAGAAACACCAGGCAUUUCUGCAUCUGCCUGUUGAUACUUUUGCUAAACAUCUACAUUCAUUUAAAAAACACCCAAAAGAUGUAUGGAAAACAAUUGUACCAUUGCCACUAUACUUAAAAUAAUAGUAAAAAAUAAACUUUUUUUUUAUUUAUAUCCCGCCCAUCUGGCUGGGUUGCCCCAGCUACUCUGGGUGGCUUCCAACACAUAUAAAAAAACAAGAAACCAUCAAACAAUAAUAGUAACAAUCUGAUCCAAUAUAAAAAGUCACAAUAACUUUAAAAUAAGCAACUUGUACCAUACAAAGCAACAUUCAACAAUCCAUCAGAAUCUAAUAGUAAACAGUAAAAUUAAAUAUCAGUAGAUAAUAAUUAAACAGUUUACACUUAUCAACCACAAGAAAGAAUUACUAAUCUAUAAUCAUUAAAACAACAGCAAAAUAAUUUCAUGCAAAUAUAGAUACUUUGUGCAUGCCAUACAUAUGGUCUUUGAAUGUAUAUAGAUGCUUUGUUUUACUAAUAUAGAACUUUGCAUUAUCUUAUAUUAGUUUGCAAACAUAUUUUGUAAAACCAAAGGAGACAUGAAUCACUUUGGCUCAAGGGAGUCAUUUUUAAGGGGGGUAUUUUGCAGGGGAACCUAGGGACUGGUGACACCCUGAAACACAACAGUACAUCAUGUAUCUGUUAGGGCAUAAAAUAUAAACAAAUGUGACUAUCACAAUUGGUUGAGGUAUUGUUCAUUUUAAUCUUCUUAUACUGCACACAAAAAUUUAAAUCAUAAAAACGAAUCAAUCACCUUGAGUUCAAAAGACAAGCUUUUGCAUUGGUGUGUAUGAAUGUGCAAUGCAAGAGUCCCUUGUACAUGCGCAUAAAUACCUGUCCUACACAUUCAGAUAAACACAGCUGUGUUUAUUCCAGUGUGCAAGAUUCCAGAUGUGCGUGUGGUCACAUGUACACAUGGGGCACUCCACCUUAUUACUUUACAAUUUUCCAUUACAUUUUCAAAUCCUUAAACUUUGGUGUCACAGAGACCUAUUCAGAAAACACAAAAAUGAUGCAGCAGGAGAUAUUAAAGGCCUUCUUUAUUUGAAUUCAUGCUGGUGGAGGGCAGUAUUUCGUGCAGAGUUUCUGCUUCUCCUAAAAGUAUUGGACAAUAUUUCUUCAAUUUAAUAUUGGCAUGAAGUUAAGACAAUCCACAUUGAACCGGAGAAACUAAUUCACUUCUAUCAUGAUGUGAGGACUUAAAAUAUGAGGUGAGAAGAGAAGGGGGUACAGUACUGAAUCUUUUCCAGUGUUUACAUUAAAUUGCUCCACUGUAUAUAUACCAGGUAUAACUCUCAUUCAGCUUGUAAAGUCUGAUUCCAUACCAAGCAUACUUCAUGGAAACUAUUUGAACAUAAAUCUUCUUCGAAUUACAGGCAAUAUACAAACCAACCAAACAUGUUGGUUUAGAAGCAGAUGCACCUGCGAUGUACUACUUGUUGAAGGUUACAGUCCAGUUAACAUCUGGGAAGUGCCUGAAAAUUCCUAUUUUGCCUUCAGAAUAGGCCCCUAAUAAAAGUAGACAAUGAAAAGGAGGACACUGCUUCAGCAUUACCCUCCAUAAGUGUGUCAUUCGCUAACGUCACAUGUGCUCACUCAACUGCUUCGAUCUGCAGAACUGGCAUUAUUACAGGUUCCACGUAAUACUCAUUCCAUGUUCAUAAGAAAUUUUAAUUAUUUUUAAAUGUGCUUAAUUUUUUUUUUUACUAUUUUUAUUAUUAAUUUUACUAUUUCUUGUAUACUGCUUGGAGAUUUUACUAUAAUCAAGCAAUAUGUAAAGGUUGUUAAAUAACUAAGUAAACACUAACAUUGCUAAGAAAAUUGGUAUGAAGAAAUAAAAUACAUGUGUGCCUUAAUAAAAUUACAAUUUCAGCAAAUGCAAAGGGAGAAAAAUCCUGCUGUAGUAAGACAUUAUCAUUAGCAGUGGCAGAUUUAUAGGUAUGUGUGGUAUGCACAGAAUUAGAGCUCCCUGAGCCCCCAAGUCAUUAGUAUACAUUGUUGACUGAGAUGGUAUUUUUGAAACAUGACUGCAAACAAUGAAUAGCCGUUGUUGACUUCUAGUAUUUUAGUUUGUUGCAUUGUUUCCACUCUUCAUUGCUCCUGCUCCCUGAUUAAAGUCAGUAUAUUCUGGCCCAUUAGGAAAGCAGGGCUUAGCCCUUCCAAGUGAAAUGUCAAGCAACUUUUUGUUCAGGUUUCCCCUUAAACUUCAAAGCCACACUAUUUCAUGCCCCACACAUCCUCUCGUGACCCAUUUGAAUUUAGAGAGCCAGGGCAAACAUUUCUAUCAAUCUCCUUCUCUCUAGCCAGUCAGUUCUCCAAGAAACCACACAAGUGUAACAAUAAAAAUACUAGAAUACUACAGGGUGAAAAUGGCAUUGUCUGGCUGCUCAGUAAAAAGUGAAUGUAUAAAGGGUGGCAAUACUAGAGAAAAGGGCCAGUGUAGAAAGAGCUAACAAAACAGGACUAAUAUCAUUAUGGUGUAUUUCCCAUCUCAUGCUGUUCCUGCUUCUAGACUUAGAAAUUUACAUUUUCAUAUGAUUGUGGGUUUUUUUUUAAUAAGCCACUUUGUAGACUCAUAAUGUAGUGCC
Non-coding RNA from Podarcis lilfordi (Lilford's wall lizard), 7828 nucleotides. Lineage: Eukaryota; Metazoa; Chordata; Lepidosauria; Squamata; Lacertidae. The record is from the annotation of a GenBank genome assembly.